UGAGCAAUCUGCCCUUCUCAUCGGAAUAAGCGUUGGAAACGACGUCUAAUGCCGAAUAUGACCUCCUUUUCACAUGAUCGGAGGUGGAAAGCUCCGGCGGAGAAGGAUGAGCUCGCGGCCUAUCAGCUAGUUGGUGUGGGUAACGGCCCACAAGGCGACGACGGGUAGCCGGUCUGAGAGGACGACCAGCCACACUGGAACUGAGAUACGGUCCAGACUCCGUAGGGAGG
Molecule: ribosomal RNA, 230 nt
Filed under: uncultured bacterium
Lineage: Bacteria
Description: partial 16S ribosomal RNA
Rfam family: Bacterial small subunit ribosomal RNA
Source: RNAcentral